AUUUAAUACCGGUAUAUAAAAUAUUGCAAACUUAUCGAUAUUCUUCGAGAUAGUUACUAACUACAAGAAGACUAUAAAUUUCAAAAGAAGUCAAAGCACUAAAUGGCUAAUUAAUGGAAUCGUCGACGUUUCGCCUAUCUUUAUGUUCUUUGUACGAACACUUGAUGUAGUAUCAGAGCCAUCGGGCAAAAAGAAAAGGGCGCGAAAAUGGAAUAUAGGAAUCUGACACUUCGAUAGAGGAUUUCUCACUUGUGUGGUACAAUGAACUUUUCGUCUUGUCGAAUAUGGGUAGUUUAGCAUUAGACAGCGUUCGACAGACGAAUCCAUUCAGGGGCUUAAGUCGUUGAGCAAGGCUCUCGUCCAGAUCGUCGAAGAUGAAAAAUUUUGGCCCGUAGCCCAUGCGUGGAAUGGUGAAUUACUCGUGGAAGUUUAUAUCACAAUAUCCUAAAUUGAUUCACGCUACCUGGACAAAUUGUAACAUUCCUCAUUUUGCAUAUUAGAGCAUAGCUCAGGUUGUGCCCUCAAAUCGUGGGGCGGAGCAGACAAAAGACUUUGGAAGGUACCCUAGAACCUCUCUAGUAUAAUGAAUGUCAAUAAAUUUAGCGUCUUUAGAUUUUUACUGAAUAAAAUAUUAUUUGAAAAAUUCUCAUUCGUUCAAAUUACUUUGAAACCUGUAUUUUCAAUACCAUGAGACAAAGUCUUGGUAUGUUUAAUAUUGGCGAGGGAUUCUGCUUGUUGAAGCCCGAGUCUAUGUUGCCAAGCUGGUUGUAGCACAAGCUUCUGUAAGGUAGCACAAGCUGCUGUAAGUUAAUUUAGACUAAGUCAAAUUGUGGUUGAUGACUUUGCAUCGCAGCGCACACGUGAUGUACAAUUAUUACACAGUAAACCACGUGGAAACGUUGGUGUAACCUAAAUUGUACGUCGAAUCCAAUUCCCUAGAGCAAUGGUUCUCAAACGGUGUGGCGCGCCCCACAAGGGGGACGUAGAUAUUUUUUUGUUAUGGCGUGAAGCUAAUUAAAAAUGAAAAUAUUUGUUAGAUUUGAUCUUGCCCGUCUUGUCUUGGAUAUUAACAUUUCUUUAUUGUUUGAAGAUUACGAUUCCAUCAACGUAUUUCCAACGUGUUUUUUAAAUAUAACAUACUUUCUCAAUACUAUCUGGAGUGGUACUAUGAUUGAAUCAAAUAACAUGGUUUUGUGAAUACCGUUUAGAAAAAGAUCUGUUCCCGACGGUAUCUUGGAAAAGUUUUGGUGCAGGGCACGAUUGUGAUAUGCUAAAAUUACAAUACCAUGUCGUUAGUUAACUGAAACGUUUUUCUUAGAAUGAGGUUAGAUCUCUUUUACAGUUAUCAUACUUC
This is a non-coding RNA of Styela clava, 1354 nucleotides long. The record is from RefSeq and is a predicted model, not a curated record. NCBI's taxonomy places the organism in Eukaryota, Metazoa, Chordata, Ascidiacea, Stolidobranchia, Styelidae.